GUGGAGGCUGGUGGGCUCCACAUGCCUGUUGCACUGGUGGUGUGUGCCAAGUGCCGGAAUGGAAUGGGCCAGAGGGGUUUGGUCGGAGACAAGGGCAAGGGCCGGCGCACGUCUGCGGCCUGUGGCGGCGCUGCAGACGAGGUGGAUCGUGGGUAGCUGGCCGUCGGGGGAGUCGGCCGGCGGAUCCCCCACCGCAGGCAGGCGCACUCGAGGCACCUGAUUUCUGCUUUGGGAAAGAAGGGAUGUAGCAGCACGGCCACUACACCUUUAAUAAAGGAACCACUGCUUAAUAAUGUUGUUAAUCAGGGAGGGUCAAGUCUAGGGAAUUAUUAUGUUCUAGCCUUUCAUGGUAGUUGAGCUGAUUUUUUUGGGGGUGGGCUGAGUUACCUAUUUUUUUAAUUGGUCAUGAAUGUGCUUUACUACUUUUGCAUUUUGAUUAUACUACGUGAAUUAUCUGUCUUUUAUAUCCUAUAUGAACUCUAUGUGCCCCCCCUUGUUAUGCUUCUUUCAAGGGAGGUGCUGCCGGAUUUUGCAAUAUUUUCUCUCUUUAUUUCAUUUCUUGUGUUGCAUAAGUUUAGUGGAAAGGGUAUUUGGUAA
This is a long non-coding RNA of Zea mays, 597 nucleotides long. RefSeq lists it as uncharacterized. The transcript is spliced from 2 exons. Lineage: Eukaryota; Viridiplantae; Streptophyta; Magnoliopsida; Poales; Poaceae. The record is from RefSeq and is a predicted model, not a curated record.